CAAUAGCGUAUAUUAAAGUUGUUGCAGUUAAAAAGCUCGUAGUUGGAUUUCUGGUAGGAGCGACCGUGCCGAACUUGAUUGUUCGAGUAUUGUGUUGUCUUCAGCCAUCCUCGUGGAGAACUUUUCUAACAUUAACUUGUUGGGAUUGGGACCCGCGUCGUUUACUGUGAAAAAAUUAGAGUGUUUAAAGCAGGCAUUAGCUCGAAUACAUUAGCAUGGAAUAAUAAGAUAGGACUUUGGUACUAUUUUGUUGGUUUGCAUACCAAAUUAAUGAUCAACAGGAACAGUUUGAGGAUAUUCGUAUGAACAUGUCAGAGGUGAAAUUCUUGGAUUUUGAUCAGACGAACUACUGCGAAAGCAUUUAUCAAGGAUGUUUUCAUUAA
Molecule: ribosomal RNA, 383 nt
Filed under: uncultured eukaryote
Lineage: Eukaryota
Description: partial 18S ribosomal RNA
Rfam family: Eukaryotic small subunit ribosomal RNA
Source: RNAcentral